CCCGCUGAACUUAAGCACAUCAAUAAGUGGAGGAAAAGGAAAUUAACAAGGAUUCCCCGAGUAACGGCGAGUGAGCGGGAAAAGCUCAUAUUUAUAAUCUGGCAGGUACGCUGUACGAGUUGUAGUUUCAAGAAGCGUUUUCGGUGCACGUCCGGGUAUGGAACGGGGGCAUCAUAGAGGGUAAGAAACCCGUUUAUGACCCCGAACUGCGUAAUAUGUGAUACGUUUUCUAAAAGUCAGGUUGUUUGGGAAUGCAGCCUAAAAUGGGUGGUAAAUGUCUCAAGCUAAAUAUUGGCGAGAACAAGUACCGUGAGGGAAAGAUGAAAACAACUUUGAAAAGAGAGUUAAAAACAGUACGUUGAAUUGUUGAAAGAGAAACGUUUGAAAUCAGUCGUGCGGGCAGGUAAUCCGCUUGACCUUUGCGUCUUGUGCACUUUCUCGAUUCCCAGGCCAGCGUCGGUUUGUUUGCCCGAUUAAUGCCAAGGGAAUGUAGCUCGACCUUUCACGAUUAGGGGUGUUAUAGCCCUGGUAAAUAUGGCGGUCGAGACCGAUCAUGCCUCUCGGGGCUGGGGACUCCAUCGCUUAUUAACACCCGCGCCUAGACAGCUAGCUGACUAGGUGUGUGGUCUGUGGGUGACACGGUGUCGACUUGGGUCGCUGGGGUAAUGGCUUUAAAUCACCCGUCUUGAAACACGG
RNAcentral lists this ribosomal RNA (696 nucleotides) under uncultured fungus. Its description in RNAcentral is "eukaryotic LSU rRNA". It matches the Rfam family "Eukaryotic large subunit ribosomal RNA", at positions 24 to 664 of the family's 3401-position model. The record is from RNAcentral. Lineage: Eukaryota; Fungi.